RNAcentral lists this ribosomal RNA (367 nucleotides) under uncultured bacterium. RNAcentral's name for it is "bacterial SSU rRNA". It matches the Rfam family "Bacterial small subunit ribosomal RNA", at positions 29 to 424 of the family's 1533-position model. The record is from RNAcentral.
AACGAACGCUGGCGGCAUGCCUAACACAUGCAAGUCGAACGAGACCUUCGGGUCUAGUGGCGCACGGGUGCGUAACGCGUGGGAAUCUGCCCUUGGGUACGGAAUAACAGCGAGAAAUUGCUGCUAAUACCGUAUAAUGACGUAAGUCCAAAGAUUUAUCGCCCAGGGAUGAGCCCGCGUAGGAUUAGCUUGUUGGUGAGGUAAAAGCUCACCAAGGCGACGAUCCUUAGCGGUCUGAGAGGAUGAUCAGCCACACUGGGACUGAGACACGGCCCAGACUCCUACGGGAGGCAGCAGUGGGGAAUAUUGGACAAUGGGCGAAAGCCUGAUCCAGCAAUGCCGCGUGAGUGAUGAAGGCCUUAGGGUU